Molecule: small nucleolar RNA, 129 nt
Organism: Psammomys obesus (fat sand rat)
Lineage: Eukaryota; Metazoa; Chordata; Mammalia; Rodentia; Muridae
Product: small nucleolar RNA SNORA17
Exons: 1
Source: RefSeq, a predicted model, not a curated record
CCUCCCUAGACAUGCUGUAGGUGUCGCUGCUGUGUCACGUGUGUGUCAGUAGAUGGCAGAGAGGAAAGAGGCUGUGUCCACACUAGUAUUCUGACCUAUGAACGUCUGAGCCAUUGGUAGCCUAAUAGU